UACGAAGGGGGCUGGCGUUGCUCGGAAUUACUGGGCGUAAAGCGCACGUAGGCGGCUUUCUAAGUCGGAGGUGAAAUCCUGGAGCUCAACUCCAGAACUGCCUUCGAUACUGGAGAGCUUGAGUCCGGGAGAGGUGAGUGGAACUGCGAGUGUAGAGGUGAAAUUCGUAGAUAUUCGGAGGAACACCAGUGGCGAAGGCGGCUCGCUGGCUCGAUACUGACGCUGAGGUGCGAAAGCGUGGGGAGCAAACCGG
RNAcentral lists this ribosomal RNA (253 nucleotides) under uncultured bacterium. RNAcentral describes it as "partial 16S ribosomal RNA". It matches the Rfam family "Bacterial small subunit ribosomal RNA", at positions 524 to 776 of the family's 1533-position model. The record is from RNAcentral.